CGGAGGAUCCGAGCGUUAUCCGGAAUCAUUGGGUUUAAAGGGUCCGUAGGCGGUUUAGUAAGUCAGUGGUGAAAGCCCAUCGCUCAACGGUGGAACGGCCAUUGAUACUGCUAAACUUGAAUUAUUAGGAAGUAACUAGAAUAUGUAGUGUAGCGGUGAAAUGCUUAGAGAUUACAUGGAAUACCAAUUGCGAAGGCAGGUUACUACUAAUGGAUUGACGCUGAUGGACGAAAGCGUGGGUAGCGAACAGGAUUAGAUACCCUGGUAGUCCACGCCGUAAACGAUGGAUACUAGCUGUUGGGGGCAACUUCAGUGGCUAAGCGAAAGUGAUAAGUAUCCCACCUGGGGAGUACGUUCGCAAGAAUG
RNAcentral lists this ribosomal RNA (366 nucleotides) under uncultured organism. Its description in RNAcentral is "bacterial SSU rRNA". It matches the Rfam family "Bacterial small subunit ribosomal RNA", at positions 526 to 896 of the family's 1533-position model. The record is from RNAcentral.